AUUGAACGCUGGCGGCAUGCUUUACACAUGCAAGUCGAACGGUAACAGGCCGCAAGGUGCUGACGAGUGGCGAACGGGUGAGUAAUGCAUCGGAACGUGCCCAGUCGUGGGGGAUAACUACUCGAAAGAGUAGCUAAUACCCCAUACGAUCUAUGGAUGAAAUCGGGGGACCGUAAGGCCUCGCGCGAUUGGAGCGGCCGAUGUCAGAUUAGGUAGUUGGUGGGGUAAAGGCUCACCAAGCCAACGAUCUGUAGCUGGUCUGAGAGGACGACCAGCCACACUGGGACUGAGACACGGCCCAGACUCCUACGGGAGGCAGCAGUGGGGAAUUUUGGACAAUGGGCGCAAGCCUGAUCCAGCAAUGCCGCGUGCAGGAAGAAGGCCUUCGGGUUGUAAACUGCUUUUGUACGGAACGAAACGGCUCUGGUUAAUACCCGGGGCUAAUGACGGUACCGUAAGAAUAAGCACCGGCUAACUACGUG
RNAcentral lists this ribosomal RNA (482 nucleotides) under uncultured bacterium. Its description in RNAcentral is "partial 16S ribosomal RNA". It matches the Rfam family "Bacterial small subunit ribosomal RNA", at positions 30 to 507 of the family's 1533-position model. The record is from RNAcentral.